UUGUCGUCAGCUCGUGUCGUGAGAUGUUGGGUUAAGUCCCGCAACGAGCGCAACCCUUGUCCUUAGUUGCCAGCAUUUGGUUGGGCACUCUAGGGAGACUGCCGUCGACAAGACGGAGGAAGGUGGGGAUGACGUCAAAUCAUCAUGCCCCUUAUG
This 156-nucleotide ribosomal RNA is filed under the name Aneurinibacillus migulanus. RNAcentral describes it as "partial 16S ribosomal RNA". It matches the Rfam family "Bacterial small subunit ribosomal RNA", at positions 1049 to 1206 of the family's 1533-position model. The record is from RNAcentral. Lineage: Bacteria; Bacillati; Bacillota; Bacilli; Caryophanales; Paenibacillaceae.